CCACUGAGCCCUGGAGCAAUGAGGAGGAACCAUGAACGAGAUAUCAGCAAUGAGGUACCUUCUCAGCAGGCAGUGACAACACACAGGACAACACCCAAACUCCAAUAAACAUAGGAAUAGGGAGGUACAUUCACUGAACUGCACCCCCUAUAAAAAAGAAUCAAGCAAGUGAAAAGAAAAACACAGCUUUGAGAAACUGAAAAUUUCAACUGCAAAUUCAAGGUUAACGAAAUGAAAUGGAGGAUUAGAUCGUGCUUAAUGACAACAAGAACAUGACAAAGGUGCAAAACCCUUCAGGAGUUGUCUCCAAAUCUACAUUAAAGUUCUCAUUUGGCUCUAAACCUUUUUAAACCAGUUCUGUUGUGCCUGGAAGGAAUUUAGCGCCUCACACCCCACCCCUGAGCCACCUGGUGAAGCUGGAGGACCUUCUGAAGGACCCCAUGAAGCCAGGGGCAGAGCAAAAGGCAGUAUUUGGGAGCCAGAUCCCUGGCUACCACACAGGAAC
Lepidothrix coronata (blue-crowned manakin) is the source of this 505-nucleotide long non-coding RNA. RefSeq lists it as uncharacterized. The transcript is spliced from 6 exons. NCBI's taxonomy places the organism in Eukaryota, Metazoa, Chordata, Aves, Passeriformes, Pipridae. The record is from RefSeq and is a predicted model, not a curated record.